Punica granatum (pomegranate) is the source of this 643-nucleotide non-coding RNA. NCBI's taxonomy places the organism in Eukaryota, Viridiplantae, Streptophyta, Magnoliopsida, Myrtales, Lythraceae. The record is from RefSeq and is a predicted model, not a curated record.
GAGACAGGAUGGUGAAGGCUGUUUCUAUUCUUGGCAGUAGCAAGGGCGUCAGCGGAACUGUCUUCUUCACACAGGAAGGAAAUGACCUACCACGGUGACUGGAAGUGUUUCUGGGCUCAAGCCGAGGCUUCACGGUUUCCAUGUCCAUGCUCUUGGUGACACGACGAACGGUUGCAUGUCAAAUGCUCAUCUUCUCCGCCUCCUCUGAUUCUUCUUCUUCUCCUUCGAAACCCCCUCGACUCGAGCAGAAAUUGCAGAGUGCAUCUUCGAGAUUCUUUCGGUUGUUCUUCAUCGGUUCGUCGCUCCUCUCCCUCUUCUCCUUUGCUUGUGGUUGCGGUGACAAAUUGAGGCAUUGGACUGGAUUUCCCAAUUCCCUAAACAUUGAUAAAAAGGUUGAACUGAUCUUGAGUGAUGUCAAUACCCAGUAUGAUAUAUCUGAUGUUCUUGACAGUGAUGAGAGAUUGGGAUUUCAUGUGUGAUGUGCGGUAGCUGUAGAAGCAGUAGUUGAGGUGUCUUGUGGAGUAAUUUGGUGUUUUGAUUCUGACAAGUUCUACUUCUCUUCCUGAUGGUAGUCUAUCUUGGAAAAUUGGAUGGAAAAAAAAAAUCUUCGUUUUGUUGCUUUUCAAAUUAUGUAAUGAAUGGG